GAUGAACGCUGGCGGCGUGCCUAAUACAUGCAAGUCGAGCGAACGGACGAGAAGCUUGCUUCUCUGAUGUUAGCGGCGGACGGGUGAGUAACACGUGGAUAACCUACCUAUAAGACUGGGAUAACUUCGGGAAACCGGAGCUAAUACCGGAUAAUAUUUUGAACCGCAUGGUUCAAAAGUGAAAGACGGUCUUGCUGUCACUUAUAGAUGGAUCCGCGCUGCAUUAGCUAGUUGGUAAGGUAACGGCUUACCAAGGCAACGAUGCAUAGCCGACCUGAGAGGGUGAUCGGCCACACUGGAACUGAGACACGGUCCAGACUCCUACGGGAGGCAGCAGUAGGGAAUCUUCCGCAAUGGGCGGAAGCCUGACGGAGCAACGCCGCGUGAGUGAUGAAGGUCUUCGGAUCGUAAAGCUCUGUUAUUAGGGAAGAACAUAUGUGUAAGUAACUGUGCACAUCUUGACGGUACCUAAUCAGAAAGCCACGGCUAACUACGUG
This 497-nucleotide ribosomal RNA is filed under the name uncultured bacterium. Its description in RNAcentral is "partial 16S ribosomal RNA". It matches the Rfam family "Bacterial small subunit ribosomal RNA", at positions 28 to 507 of the family's 1533-position model. The record is from RNAcentral.